AAGUCGAGCGGAUGAAGGGAGCUUGCUCCUGGAUUCAGCGGCGGACGGGUGAGUAAUGCCUAGGAAUCUGCCUGGUAGUGGGGGAUAACGUCCGGAAACGGGCGCUAAUACCGCAUACGUCCUGAGGGAGAAAGUGGGGGAUCUUCGGACCUCACGCUAUCAGAUGAGCCUAGGUCGGAUUAGCUAGUUGGUGGGGUAAAGGCCUACCAAGGCGACGAUCCGUAACUGGUCUGAGAGGAUGAUCAGUCACACUGGAACUGAGACACGGUCCAGACUCCUACGGGAGGCAGCAGUGGGGAAUAUUGGACAAUGGGCGAAAGCCUGAUCCAGCCAUGCCGCGUGUGUGAAGAAGGUCUUCGGAUUGUAAAGCACUUUAAGUUGGGAGGAAGGGCAGUAAGUUAAUACCUUGCUGUUUUGACGUUACCAACAGAAUAAGCACCGGCUAACUUCGUGCCAGCAGCCGCGGUAAUACGAAGGGUGCAAGCGUUAAUCGGAAUUACUGGGCGUAAAGCGCGCGUAGGUGGUUCAGCAAGUUGGAUGUGAAAUCCCCGGGCUCAACCUGGGAACUGCAUCCAAAACUACUGAGCUAGAGUACGGUAGAGGGUGGUGGAAUUUCCUGUGUAGCGGUGAAAUGCGUAGAUAUAGGAAGGAACACCAGUGGCGAAGGCGACCACCUGGACUGAUACUGACACUGAGGUGCGAA
This 703-nucleotide ribosomal RNA is filed under the name Pseudomonas aeruginosa. Its description in RNAcentral is "bacterial SSU rRNA". It matches the Rfam family "Bacterial small subunit ribosomal RNA", at positions 59 to 757 of the family's 1533-position model. The record is from RNAcentral. Lineage: Bacteria; Pseudomonadati; Pseudomonadota; Gammaproteobacteria; Pseudomonadales; Pseudomonadaceae.